GAUGAACGCUGGCGGCGUGCCUAAUACAUGCCAGUCGAGCGAACAGACGAGGAGCUUGCUCCUCUGACGUUAGCGGCGGACGGGUGAGUAACACGUGGAUAACCUACCUAUAAGACUGGGAUAACUUCGGGAAACCGGAGCUAAUACCGGAUAAUAUAUUGAACCGCAUGGUUCAUUAGUGAAAGACGGUUUUGCUGUCACUUAUAGAUGGAUCCGCGCCGCAUUAGCUAGUUGGUAAGGUAACGGCUUACCAAGGCAACGAUGCGUAGCCGAACGUGGAGGGUGAUAGGCCACACUGGAACUGAGCCACGGUCCAGACUCCUACGGGAGGCAGCAGUAGGGAAUCUUCCGCAAUGGGCGAAAGCCUGACGGAGCAACGCCGCGUGAGUGAUGAAGGUCUUCGGAUCGUAAAACUCUGUUAUUAGGGAAGAACAAAUGUGUAAGUAACUAUGCACGUCUUGACGGUACCUAAUCAGAAAGCCACGGCUAACUACGUG
Molecule: ribosomal RNA, 497 nt
Filed under: uncultured bacterium
Lineage: Bacteria
Description: partial 16S ribosomal RNA
Rfam family: Bacterial small subunit ribosomal RNA
Source: RNAcentral